Molecule: long non-coding RNA, 313 nt
Filed under: Ananas comosus (pineapple)
Lineage: Eukaryota; Viridiplantae; Streptophyta; Magnoliopsida; Poales; Bromeliaceae
Description: long non-coding RNA (ACOM_LNC030153)
Source: RNAcentral
GGUCGCCAUCUCCCCCGAAACCAAGGUCCAAGUCUCGGUCUAGGUCACCUAUCAAAUUCCGCCGAAGCAAGUCUCGGUCUAGAUCACCUAUUAAAUAUCGCCGAAGCAAGUCUCGGUCUAGGUCACCUAUUAAAUAUCGCCGAAGCAAGUCUCGGUCUAGGUCACCUAUUAAAUAUCGCCGAAGCCGGCGGUCCCGUUCUUUCUCCCCACCAGCUCGGUACUCCCGUGAUCAUAGGUCGCGGUCACCAAUAAGAUCUCACUAUUCGAGUCAGAGAACUGAAAGAUUAUACAGAGAUGAUCGCGACAGCCACAG